GCCGGGCCCGUGGCUGGUGCCUGUGAUCCCAGCGGCGGGGGAGGCUGAGGCCGGCGGAUCGCUUGAGCUCAGGAGUUCUGGGCUGCAGCGGGCUGUGCCGAGCGGGUGUCCGCCCUGAGUUCGGCAUCGAUAUGGGGAUCCCGGGGAAGCUCGGGGUCCCCAGGUUGCCUAAGGAGGGGUGAACCGGCCCAGGUCGGAAACGGAGCAGGUCAAAGCUCCCGUGCCGAUCAGUAAUGGGAUCGCGCCUGUGAAUGGCCCCUGCAGCGUAGCCUGGGCGAGACAGUGAGACCCGGUCUCUU
Molecule: signal recognition particle RNA, 299 nt
Filed under: Chelydra serpentina (North American snapping turtle)
Lineage: Eukaryota; Metazoa; Chordata; Testudines; Chelydridae
Description: Metazoan signal recognition particle RNA (ENSCSRG00000007055.1)
Rfam family: Metazoan signal recognition particle RNA
About the family: The signal recognition particle (SRP) is a universally conserved ribonucleoprotein. It is involved in the co-translational targeting of proteins to membranes.
Source: Rfam by way of RNAcentral